CAUCAUGGUUUUAUCGCAAACGCAAUCAUCCUGGUCUUCACACUGCAGUUAUCGUCUGGAUGGAGGUUUGAGUUAGAAAUAGUUUACUGUAGAUGCCAAAACAUUCAUGAAGGAUGCAGUAUUACACUGCCUAUGUGUAUUUGACAAAAGUGUUAAAUCGUUAAAUCAUUUUAGUACUGACGGGG
This is a long non-coding RNA of Thalassophryne amazonica, 185 nucleotides long. RefSeq lists it as uncharacterized. The transcript is spliced from 3 exons. Lineage: Eukaryota; Metazoa; Chordata; Actinopteri; Batrachoidiformes; Batrachoididae. The record is from RefSeq and is a predicted model, not a curated record.